UACAUAUAUGUGGAGUUGAGCUAGACUACCCUCAAAAGCACCAUGAAGGUAGUGUUUUUGAGUUUUUAGUCAUUGGAUGGAGAGAUGUGAAGUUGAGAUGAUGGUGGUAGGUGGUGGUAGGUGGAAUAGUAUUUAAUCCAAAGACUAUUAGUAAUCAAGUAGUAGAUCCAAUGGCUAAAAACUUAGAAGUAUCAAGGGAU
This 200-nucleotide long non-coding RNA is filed under the name Ananas comosus (pineapple). Its description in RNAcentral is "long non-coding RNA (ACOM_LNC007370)". Lineage: Eukaryota; Viridiplantae; Streptophyta; Magnoliopsida; Poales; Bromeliaceae. The record is from RNAcentral.